RNAcentral lists this ribosomal RNA (422 nucleotides) under Verrucomicrobiota bacterium. RNAcentral describes it as "Verrucomicrobia bacterium partial 16S ribosomal RNA". It matches the Rfam family "Bacterial small subunit ribosomal RNA", at positions 355 to 776 of the family's 1533-position model. Lineage: Bacteria; Pseudomonadati; Verrucomicrobiota. The record is from RNAcentral.
UGGGGAAUUUUGCACAAUGGGCGCAAGCCUGAUGCAGCGACGCCGCGUGAGGGGUGAAGGCCUUCGGGUUGUAAACCUUUUUCGCUCAUGGUCAAGCCGCAGCUUUGGGUUGUGGUGAGGGUAGUGGGUAAAGAAGCGCCGGCUAACUACGUGCCAGCAGCCGCGGUAAUACGUAGGGCGCGAGCGUUGUCCGGAAUUAUUGGGCGUAAAGGGCUUGUAGGCGGUUGGCCGCGUCUGCCGUGAAAUCCUCUGGCUUAACUGGGGGCGUGCGGUGGGUACGGGUUGACUUGAGUGCGGUAGGGGAGACUGGAAUUCCUGGUGUAGCGGUGGAAUGCGCAGAUAUCAGGAGGAACACCGGUGGCGAAGGCGGGUCUCUGGGCCGUUACUGACGCUGAGGAGCGAAAGCGUGGGGAGCGAACAGG